RNAcentral lists this long non-coding RNA (412 nucleotides) under Ananas comosus (pineapple). RNAcentral's name for it is "long non-coding RNA (ACOM_LNC005101)". The record is from RNAcentral. Lineage: Eukaryota; Viridiplantae; Streptophyta; Magnoliopsida; Poales; Bromeliaceae.
AUACGGGAGUUUUUAGAAAACCCUAGCCGUCAUCUAUCCUCUCUUCUCUCUUCCAUCUUCUAGCAAGAAAGACGUCCUUUUGCAAGGGAGCUAGCACCCCGGUGAGGACAUCGAUCAAAUCAAGAACCUCGUGUGGAUACCUAUAGAGGCCGGACGCGUGUGCGGCUUCAAGAGAACCCGAUUCCACGAUCAUCAAAUUGAGGGAAGGAUUUAUCCGCGAAAAAGGUAAUGAUUCGAUCUUACUUUUCUCCUUUAAUCUUAAAGAACAUGAGGGAUCCUAAUUGCGUGGUUUUGAGAUUAGAUCUCGAGAGUUUUCAAAAUCAAAUUUGUUUAAUUUUCUUUUCCGCUGCGUUUUACCGUACGCAAUUUUCUAACACAAAUUUCACUUUGGAGAAAAACAUGUCGCACUUAA